Molecule: ribosomal RNA, 1359 nt
Filed under: uncultured bacterium
Lineage: Bacteria
Description: bacterial SSU rRNA
Rfam family: Bacterial small subunit ribosomal RNA
Source: RNAcentral
AUUGAACGCUGGCGGCAUGCCUUACACAUGCAAGUCGAACGGCAGCAUGAUCUAGCUUGCUAGAUUGAUGGCGAGUGGCGAACGGGUGAGUAAUACAUCGGAACGUGCCCUGUAGUGGGGGAUAACUAGUCGAAAGAUUAGCUAAUACCGCAUACGACCUGAGGGUGAAAGUGGGGGACCGCAAGGCCUCAUGCUAUAGGAGCGGCCGAUGUCUGAUUAGCUAGUUGGUGGGGUAAAGGCCCACCAAGGCGACGAUCAGUAGCCGGUCUGAGAGGACGAUCAGCCACACUGGGACUGAGACACGGCCCAGACUCAUACGGGAGGCAGCAGUGGGGAAUUUUGGACAAUGGGGGCAACCCUGAUCCAGCAAUGCCGCGUGUGUGAAGAAGGCCUUCGGGUUGUAAAGCACUUUUGUCCGGAAAGAAAUCGCACUUACUAAUAUUAGGUGUGGAUGACGGUACCGGAAGAAUAAGGACCGGCUAACUACGUGCCAGCAGCCGCGGUAAUACGUAGGGUCCAAGCGUUAAUCGGAAUUACUGGGCGUAAAGCGUGCGCAGGCGGUUGUGCAAGACCGAUGUGAAAUCCCCGGGCUUAACCUGGGAAUUGCAUUGGUGACUGCACGGCUAGAGUGUGUCAGAGGGGGGUAGAAUCCCACGUGUAGCAGUGAAAUGCGUAGAGAUGUGGAGGAAUACCGAUGGCGAAGGCAGCCCCCUGGGAUAACACUGACGCUCAUGCACGAAAGCGUGGGGAGCAAACAGGAUUAGAUACCCUGGUAGUCCACGCCCUAAACGAUGUCAACUAGUUGUUGGGGACUCAUUUCCUUAGUAACGUAGCUAACGCGUGAAGUUGACCGCCUGGGGAGUACGGUCGCAAGAUUAAAACUCAAAGGAAUUGACGGGGACCCGCACAAGCGGUGGAUGAUGUGGAUUAAUUCGAUGCAACGCGAAAAACCUUACCUACCCUUGACAUGCCACUAACGAAGCAGAGAUGCAUUAGGUGCUCGAAAGAGAAAGUGGACACAGGUGCUGCAUGGCUGUCGUCAGCUCGUGUCGUGAGAUGUUGGGUUAAGUCCCGCAACGAGCGCAACCCUUGUCUCUAGUUGCUACGAAAGGGCACUCUAGAGAGACUGCCGGUGACAAACCGGAGGAAGGUGGGGAUGACGUCAAGUCCUCAUGGCCCUUAUGGGUAGGGCUUCACACGUCAUACAAUGGUGCAUACAGAGGGUUGCCAAGCCGCGAGGUGGAGCUAAUCCCAGAAAAUGCAUCGUAGUCCGGAUCGUAGUCUGCAACUCGACUACGUGAAGCUGGAAUCGCUAGUAAUCGCGGAUCAGCAUGCCGCGGUGAAAACGUUCCCGGGUCU